AGAGUUUGAUCCUGGCUUAAGAUGAACGCUGGCGGCGUGCUUAACACAUGCAAGUCGAACGGAGACAAGAGAAAGCUUGCUUUUCUUAUCUUAGUGGCGGACGGGUGAGUAACGCGUGGGUAACCUACCCUGUACAGGGGGAUAGCAGUUGGAAACGACUGAUAAAACCGCAUAAAACGGCAGUACCGCAUGGUACAACCGUCAAAUAUUCAUAGGUACAGGAUGGGCCCGCGUCUGAUUAGCUAGUUGGUGGGGCAACGGCCUACCAAGGCGACGAUCAGUAGCCGGCCUGAGAGGGUGAACGGCCACAUUGGGACUGAGACACGGCCCAAACUCCUACGGGAGGCAGCAGUGGGGAAUAUUGGACAAUGGGGGAAACCCUGAUCCAAGCGACGCCGCGUGAGUGAAGAAGUAUUUCGGUAUGUAAAGCUCUAUCAGCAGGGAAGAUGAUGACGGUACCUGACUAAGAAGCACCGGCUAAAUACGUGCCAGCCGCCGC
RNAcentral lists this ribosomal RNA (499 nucleotides) under uncultured bacterium. Its description in RNAcentral is "bacterial SSU rRNA". It matches the Rfam family "Bacterial small subunit ribosomal RNA", at positions 8 to 518 of the family's 1533-position model. The record is from RNAcentral.